Molecule: ribosomal RNA, 305 nt
Filed under: uncultured bacterium
Lineage: Bacteria
Description: bacterial SSU rRNA
Rfam family: Bacterial small subunit ribosomal RNA
Source: RNAcentral
GCCUACGGGGCGCAGCAGUGGGGGAUAUUGCACAAUGGGGGAAACCCUGAUGCAGCGACGCCGCGUGGGCGAAGAAGUAUUUCGGUAUGUAAAGCCCUAUCAGCAGGGAAGAAGAAAUGACGGUACCUGAGUAAGAAGCACCGGCUAAAUACGUGCCAGCAGCCGCGGUAAUACGUAUGGUGCAAGCGUUAUCCGGAUUUACUGGGUGUAAAGGGAGCGCAGGCGGCACGGCAAGCCUGAUGUGAAAGACAGCGGCCCAACCGCGGGACGGCAUGGGGAACGACCGAGCUGGAGUGCCGGAGAGG